Molecule: long non-coding RNA, 1268 nt
Filed under: Catharus ustulatus (Swainson's thrush)
Lineage: Eukaryota; Metazoa; Chordata; Aves; Passeriformes; Turdidae
Description: lncRNA (ENSCUSG00005011861.1)
Source: RNAcentral
CUGGUGGUGAAACACCAAGGAUUAGCUUAAAUUUGUUGGGUUUUUUCUGUCUCAUGUAUGUAGUAAUUUGCCCAGGGAAGGCAUUCCUCAAAAUGAGUGAUUUCAAUACUUGAACUACAGGUUCCAUGUACGUGUAGAUAAUGAAAAUACUCUUGUGUGAUUGGGUGAGAUAAUUUGAGCAAUAUAUGGUAUGAAAAGUGAAUCUCUGAACAGUUUUUCAUGGUGCAAACCAUAGGCAGCAAGAGUGAAAUGAGUCAUCCACGUCUUUUAUUGCUAAUAGCAACACUUAGCAAUGCUAAUCAGCUAUACUGAGUUUCUGUUUUCAUUUUCCUAAUAAUUAAGUAAAAGAUCUGGCAUGCAAUCAAGUUUUGCUCUAGGGAGUUCAUGCAAAAUUAAUUUUUUAAUUGUACAUUCUGAUAAAUAUAUCCUGCAAAAGGGAAGUUGCUGAAGUUGAGAAGAAAAGAAAAGAAAAGGAAAUACCAUUUACAGUGUGCUUCACCAGAAUCAGGCAGUGAUAUAGAAGGACAGCUGUUGCCUCAGGACAGAAAUCAACCAGAAAUGGACACCAGUGAAGAUUUGAGAAAGAAAAUCCAAGAGCUUGAGAAAAAAACCUUGGACUUAACCAAUCAACACAGUCAGUGAUAUGUCUCACUAUGAAAAAGAUUUAACAAAAUUAAGGUUGGAACUCGAGAGAGGAGAGGCUCUCCAUCAGGUUCUGGAAAAUGAAAUGUUCUUGGCUAGAAAAGAGGCUGAGGUGCAGAUGUAUUCUACACAAGAAGAGCUCUGUGAUACAAAAGCCAAGCUUUUGGAACUGCAAGCACGCGGGAGAGGACAAAUGCUGGCAGUGCACCACAGAACCUGCACUGGCUCUGGAACCCACCCACCCUCUGAAUCUUUGUGUGUUCACUUUGGACCUGAAGCAGCUGGUUCACCUCCCCUACCUGCUCCUGCUUCUCCAUGUGAUGAUGUUUGUCAGUCGCGAGUCUCAACUCCAGCAGCCAGAGCAUCUCCUACUCCUUCUCCUGCUCCUGAUGGUAAGUCUCAUUUCAAGCAAAUAUGGUCCCUUGGAUGUGGAUGCAGAAGGAGUUUCUCCAUACUGCAAAGCUCAUAUACGCAAAUUCAAUGAUAUUUAAUUGUAAACAUAAUGGAGCAAUAAAAUUAAUGCAAACAGAAGCCUUCGAAGACAUUUGUCAGAAGAGAGAGGGGGUGGUGAAUGCGAGCACAAGGAAUAAAAUUACUCCUGGAAUGAGGUUUUUUUCUAUUGGUCU